CCUCCUCGACCGCCCCGCCCGUCAGUCCUGAAAACCUGGCGAGAGGCGCGCACUGUCCUAGGGGAAUUCCCCUGCAAACAGAAGGGAGCCCGCCCUGCGCGUCCUGGAGUGGGUGCAGCAGGAGCGCUUCCAGGCACUGCGUCCCCAGGUGAGGGGCGGAGCGGGGGCGCGGUUCGCGGCAGUGGCCAGGCCUUUGUUUCCUUGGGUUGGGGUGACCCCUGGUGGUCAUCCAGAGCGCAACAAGGGCUACUCCCUGGUCCAGAAUUCAGUCCUUUCCGGGGGAGAAAUAGAGAAUGGUGGAGGGUGGCCCAGGCGGUGUUGAUUGGAGUAGAGAGCCAUCCUCCCGAAGUUGGCACUGAGGGUGAUAGAGACCUACCUGCCUGGCCAAGCCACUCCGCCCUGCCCAAGCAUCCCCUUCCAGAGCUCCAGGCUGUUUUGGUGGGGUUUUAUUAAGGGAGGCGGUGUUCCUUACACAGGCCUCUUCCUGCUCCCCGUAACCCUGUCGCUGGAGGUGUCUGUGGGAAAGGCCACCGACAUCUACGCUGUCAAUGGCACGGAGAUCCUGCUGCCCUGCACCUUCUCCAGCUGCUUUGGCUUCGAGGACCUCCACUUCCGGUGGACCUACAACAGCAGUGACGCAUUCAAGAUUCUCAUAGAGGGGACUGUGAAGAAUGAGAAGUCUGACCCCAAGGUGACAUUGAAAGACGAUGACCGCAUCACUCUGUGGAAGAAGUGGACAACACAGUGACACUCAUCAUCCUAGCUGUUGUGGGUGGGGUCAUUGGGCUCCUCAUCCUCAUCCUGCUGAUCAAGAAACUCAUCAUCUUCAUCCUGAAGAAGACUCGGGAGAAGAAG
RNAcentral lists this small RNA (855 nucleotides) under Pongo abelii (Sumatran orangutan). Its description in RNAcentral is "retained intron". The record is from RNAcentral. Lineage: Eukaryota; Metazoa; Chordata; Mammalia; Primates; Hominidae.